GGUCCGAUGUGCCCAAGGUGGGGUCAAACCCAGCUCCCUCAAAAGCCUGCAGAAAAGUCUCUCCUGUUACGCGGUCCUGAGCAUCACCAGCACAGGCUAUGAAGGAGGAUAUCAGACGUAUCUGAAGACACUGCUGGGGAAUAGCACCACCUCAGUUGUUUGGUUUCCAGGAGAUGCUUAACGAAGACCAACUCCGUGGCAAUGAGGUUCCGUUCACAAGCCUGCUCAACAUGGGGUCUGUCCUAUCUUCCUCCGCCCUCCCCCCCUCCACCACCAAGCAGGGAUUGAGAAAUUUUUUUUAAAAGUGAAACCUUUGGACUUUAUAGCGAAGCAUCCAACCUGGUACUUACCAAGAGAAACUGAAGGGGAAACACCAAAGAGCUGCUCUACUGAAUCACACAAGCUAUUGGGAUUAUUUGCAGGCAUGUCUCUGGAUCUCCUUAUUUUUUUUUCAGCCAAGCCCAAUGUGUGGUACAAAAACUGCGCCCAAGGAGUUGGUGAAUAAAUGAAUAAAUGAAUGAA
Molecule: long non-coding RNA, 522 nt
Organism: Felis catus (domestic cat)
Lineage: Eukaryota; Metazoa; Chordata; Mammalia; Carnivora; Felidae
Exons: 2
Source: RefSeq, a predicted model, not a curated record